AAGGACUCAACUUUCCUGUCUUUUUAAACUGCAUUAUUCCUUUGUAGGAAAAGACCUUAAAAAAAAAUAUGGUCACCAACUACAAACUCUAAAGGUCUCCUUCAGUUGUCAGAAUAACUCUUCUGACAACUCUGGGCACUAACGAGGUGCUUCCAAAUGACAUAAACCUUUUUAAUGGUUUCUUAGACAUAAUUCGAUACAGGAAGAUGCCUGUUCCAACUUCAGUUUAACAGGUUGGAGAUCAAAAAAUCCUACCAUAGGGAGCUUUAAAUAGAGCUAUACUAAUACUUGAGUGGUAGAUGUUAUUAUAAGCAAAUUUGUAAAAAGGAAGUUACUGAUCCCAAUUGGCACUAAAGUCAAGUAUACACAUGUCCUCCAGCAUCUGAAUAGUCCGUUCUGACUUCCCAUAGAUUUUGGGGUAUAAGUAGUGAUGAAGUAUGAGCUAGAACUAAGAGCUUUUUAGAAGCUAUCCCAAAAGUGAGAAGUGAAAUGAGGAUCACUGUCUGAAACCAUAAAAGCAGGAACACCAUGGAGUCGAACAAUUUCCUCAACGUACAACCAGGCU
Molecule: long non-coding RNA, 565 nt
Filed under: Carica papaya (papaya)
Lineage: Eukaryota; Viridiplantae; Streptophyta; Magnoliopsida; Brassicales; Caricaceae
Description: long non-coding RNA (CPAP_LNC001329)
Source: RNAcentral